UCAAAUUAGUUCUCUCUAAAGCUUCCCUUUAAUUUACGGUUUUAAACCUUCUCUAGUUCUAGUUUGUGAGUAAAUUGCGAGAGACCAAAAAUGAGUGUGGAGAUUUUGGAUGGUGCCACCAUUGUCAACUUUCUAGAGGACGAGGAAGCAUUCAACGCGCAAAUAUGUGACCGCUUCGCCCACCUUGAUUCAGACCAUGAUGGCCGGCUUUCCUACGGGGAAAUGUUGAAGGAGCUGCAGUGUUUGAGGUUAUUGGAAACCCACUUCGGCGUGGAUGUGGAAACAGACCCGGAUGAGCUUGCUCUCGUCUAUGAUUCUCUUUUUGUCCAAUUUGAUCAUGACUUGAAUGGGACAGUGGACUUGGAAGAGUUCAAGUCAGAGACCAAGCAAAUGAUGCUAGCCAUGGCCAGUGGUAUGGGUUUCUUGCCUGUUCAGAUGGUCCUGGAAGAAGACAGUUUCCUGAAGAAGGCUGUGGAGUGGGAAUCUGCUAAACUCGUUGCCUGAUUAAUUUCACAUCCAUUACCCUAUACAUGACUCAUUAAUUGUCUUUGUUAUUUCUUUCUUCUCCGAAUGCAUUCCAAGUUUAGCUGAAUGUAGCAAAGAAAAUAAAUGAAAUGCUCUGUUAUUGGUGAAGGUGCAAUUUGGUAUCUUAAAACUUGGUUCUCUCCUCAUGCAAUUUGGUCAUGACCAUCCAGCCAUAGUUAAUAUAACAAAAGGGAAUGGAAUUGGUAGAACAGAGUUGAAUCAAAAUGGGAAAAGAACUUGCGUGUGUCACGUCCAGGGGAACAGAUAAAAAUUAAAGAAAUACUGUCCUAAUAUAAAGUCCAGUUAAAUAAAAACUUGCAGGCGAAUCUGCCGUGCAAUUUAACUAGAUUUUGCGCUCUAAACACCUAAUUCCAUCAUGAUUUGUUUAGCAUGCGUAUGAAACAAACUUCCCACAUUGGAUCACAAAAACAAUGACAUCUCAGGAGAUGGAAUGAAAGAGAGAAUGCUUUCACCAAACAGCUCAAACAGGGAUACCAGAAGAUGCUCAUUAUUCAAGUCUUCAUUCAAACCUUGUUGAGAAUGUGAUGCGGAACAAUAAAUCAAAAAUAAAAAUAAAAAAUUAAAGUAGUAAAGAAUGAAGCUUUACAGAAAUAAGUUAAGAAUUAAAAGUAAAGCAAGGGAAAAGCCAGGGGAAAAAAAAAGAAUUGAAGAAGAAAAGUCUAUCAUUAUUAUUUAAUCAUAAAAAACUCUCCCAAAAAGUGAAAGAGAAACAUAUAAAUAGCAUAACCUUACAAUAUCCACUUAUUGGGUUCAACUCAUCAAUUAAAAUUUUCUAACAUAAAUAAGUCAAAUUAAUAAAAUAAAACAAUGAAAUAGGCCCAAAUGAGCUCAGUCUCCCAACCAAAAAGUGACAGGCUAGGUCAUUUUAUGUCGUCUUUGUCUAUAUACUCGUGUAAUUUGUGGUGUAAGUCUAAAGUCCCCACCAACUCUCCUAAUGUAGCUCUGGGUGACCUUGAUAACACUCCCAAAGUUCUGGAUCAAUCUGCUACAAAGUAUCUAUGGUGAUCUAAGUACAAUUUGAAUCAGGUCGGCCAACCCAAGAGUUAGAAACAGUUGAACCUCACUAUUCCAAGUAAAAAAAAACUUGUUCAUCCAAAAUGACAUCAAUAUUAUCCUUUUGUGUUCAGAUCAAGGUCAAAGGGGUAGAGGUUUCAAUAGGAUCAUCAAGAGGAGAGUUAGGUGGCAUCUCAAAUGGAUCAUUUGGAAUAGGAUGUUGUUUCUGGUAUGCAACUAAAUCCGCAGUGCUAAAUGUAAAGUUAAUGCCAAAAUCAAGUGGUAAAUCAAGAACAUAAACAUUUGGACCAACUCCUUGUAGCACUUUGAAUGGCCCUGCACUACGUGCAUGCAAUUUUCGAUUAGUUCCUGAAGGAAACUACUUGUGUCUAUUCCAUAUAAUAACUUAGUCUCCCACAUUAAAUUUAUUAUAUCAUCUAUGUAAAUAAGCUCAGAGUUUAUAUUGUGCAUUACUUGCUUGAAUUUGCUUAGUGAUCUAAAUAUGCAAAUUCUAAAUUUUACGUGUAAAAAACUUUGUUAACUCAAACACCUUAGUAUGAAGAGAUAUGGGAAGAAGGUUUAAAGGUUUCCUAGGCUUGUAACCAUGUACAACUUCAAAGGGACUCAUGCAAAUUGACCUAUUGACAGAACUCUUAUAUGCAAACUAGGUCAUAGGAAGAACCAAAUCCCAAUUCCUAUUAUGAUAACUCACUAGACACCUCAGAAAGUUGCCUAAUCUGGGUGGUAGGCACUAGAAAACUUCAACUGAGUUCCCACUAUAUGGCGAAGGGUUUUCUAGAAAUAACUCAUAAAUCUAACAUCCUUAUCUAAGACUAUGGUUUGGGGGAAAUCGUACAACUUGACAAUCUCGUUAAAAUAGAGUUCCGCAACUCUAGAAGCAUUUGUGAUCUUAGUACAAAAGAUAAAAUAGGUCAUCUUAGAGAAACAGUCGAAAACCAUAAAAAAGAAUCAUGCUUCUUUGCAGUACGUAGAAGCCCAAUCACAAAAUUCAUACUUACAUUUUGCCAAGGGCAAGUAGGAAAAGGUAACGGGGUGUAAAUACCAAUAUUUUGUUUUUUAUGCUUUGCUAGUUGACAUGUUCAACAUUGACCUCCCAACUUAGCUACAUCUCUUUCAAACUAGACAAAAAAAAUUGAUGUUCCCCCUCUUAAAUGGGUUUAUUUCUUCUAAAGUGUUCUGAAAGACCUCCAAUAUGAAUCUCCCAUACAAACUCCAGCAAGUUUAAAAUUAAAAUCCUACUACAACUUAGAAAAAACAUAGGCGGCUAUCUUUCCUUUAGUUUCAAGGAUAUCUUGGUCACUUUUACUUUUUCAUUACUUCAUAAUCUUCAGAGUAUGAUACCUUAUAGCUUCACGGUUACAAGUCAUUUCCUCAUUACUUUGGGUCUUUAAUGGGUUGUAUGGAAGACUAUAAAUAAGCCUUGAAUCAAUUCUGUAAUAUUUUCUUUCCUUCUCUUCUUCUCAUGGUAAAACAAAGAUUUAAUAUUAUGGGUUUUAUUUUAUUUUGUUUAUGCUUAAUUAAUAUAUUUUUUUCAGCUAGGAUCUAAGGCUUGUUUGGAUCAGGGUUUGGGCUUACUAGUAAAGGUUUUGAGUAAGUUUUUAUAUGUGGGUUAGUUUAGCCCACAAGGGUGGAUCCAUUUGGGUUAAUUUCUUAGAACAAUUUAAACACAUAUAAGCCUAAAUUUCACCAGCGAUUGAUAAAUAAUACUUGUGAAUUUUUUAAUUUUAACAUGUGAGAGAAAUUCUUGUAUUCUAUGGUUCUUAAACGAACUGAAUAUGACUUCUCAAAGUUUAAUUGGCUUCAUGACGUCAUUCGACAUCAUUCCAAUAAUGUUGGUGUCUCAGGAUAGGUUUUUAUUGUGUCACACUUCUAUUAGAUCAAUUUUGGCUUUUUAGGAUCAAAUUUUAAUCUUGAAUGUGGGUUGUGUGACCAUGUAUUCACGAGGUUCACAUCAGUGUUCAAGAGAUGCUAAUAAAUAUCUUUGAGUGGUAAAGGUAUGUCAAUAUUUGAUAAGGGCACUUGAGCAUCCAAUGACAUAGUGAGAUCCAAUUGGACAAGACUCCCAAUCUGAGAGCCAUUUCCCAAUUCAUAUUCUAUCAUACUUUAGAGUUCAUAUAUGGGGUUUCCUCGAAGGUGAUCCAUCCUACCUCAAUAAGCUAGAGGAGCUUGUCUUUAAAAGCAUAACAACUUUCAAUGUUAUGACCACUAGUGCCAUCAUGAUACUCGUAUGUCUAGUUAGUAUUAUACCAUUUUAGAUAUGGGGGUUGAAAUGGUUUCUAGAUAAUCAAAAUAAUUUGUCCAAUAUUGACCAAUCUUUCAAAUAUCUCUUUAAAAGAUAAAGGAAAGAGCGAUAUAGUUUUCUUUAACUAUUGUGACUUUUCAUAUAUUUUCUUAUUAGAUGGAACCUGAUUAGUCAUUUGAGGAGAAUGAUUAGGAUGCUAAGAUAUAGAAUGAUCUUGAUUCAUACUUCUCAUAUAGGAGUUAUCUUUUUAUUUGUCAAACGACAUAGCAUUAAACCUCUCUUCUUUAUUCCAGAUCCUUCUCAAUUUCAAUCCUUGCUCCACACUCUCUACUGUCGUUUUUAUCUCUAUUAAAUAAGCUCAUGAAUUACAAGUUAUGUAAUCACAAUAAGGAGUCUUUGAAGUAUUGAUGAAGAUGGAAUUGAGCUCAUUUUAUAGUAGUGGAGCGUAAACUUGGGUUGUCAUUUGUCGCAGCCUCAUCGCAUAUUCCUUGACUGACUCAUCAUUUCUCAUCUCAAUUCUUUGAAGGUCUAACCUGGUUAGAGCCAUCUUUAAGUUGAAUCCAAAUUGUUGCAGAAAUGCAUCAACCAAGUAUUCUUAUUUCUUCUUUUCAGAGCCAUUUAAAUCCAAGUUGGGUUUUAAAAUUAUGAUAAUAAUCAUUUUUAUCCUUACAUGUCUUAGUUGUAUAAUUUUAAAAUUAAGAGUUUUUUACAAGAAUAUUUUAGAGAAAAAAAAUAACAAAUAUUUUUUCUAGAGACAUGUCCUCUCUAUACCUUCUAUUUUGGAAGUAUAGACAUUCACUCCAAAAUUAUCCGAGGGACAUAUUUAUUUUUAUAUCUUUGUCUCUUCAACCAAAUAUAUUUAUGUCUUCAUUGUCUUCAUCUCUUUUGUUUCAGGACAGUAACCAAACACUAUUUAAUAUACACUAUUUAAACUAUUUUUAGUGAUUUGGAUAUUAGUUAUCUUUUUUGAAUAAAAUUUUAAGAGUCAAGUUUCUCUAUACAACUUUACUAUUUUAUUGUUUAAAGGGUUUUUAAGAAGUAAUAAACCCUAAUACUUUUGGUAAGCUGAAUCAUUUGUAUAAAGAAAGUAUCAUUGUUAACUUGAAUAUUUCAAAAGCUUAAACACCUAAAAAAUGUUAGACUGACAAAUAGACUCCUAAGUAACUAAAUGCUUUUCCUAUGGCCCUUUGAAUUACCCUAUCAUAAUAGAAAGUGAUUCAUCAUGCUAAAGAUAAUCGAGCCGUCUGCCAACCUAACACUACAUUCUGAACUUUUUCCACCGCUCUACUAUAUGUAUUUGUUAACAAGCAUAUGUAACAUAGGAACUCUAAAAUAUUACCCAAUAUUUUUUUGUUAAAGCAAACACUGAAAUGAAUUGAUAUCAAGAGCCACCCUUAAACGAAUAAAACAGUCUGGUUUUUAGCCACACUAACAUUUUUUUACCAAAAAGUUACAAAAGUCCUGUAUGAUAACUUUGAUUUGCUUCAAAUCAAGUUUUGCAAAAAAGAAUUAAGUCACCAACAAAUAUGGAUGACAACUUCACCUGACUCGUUUGCAAUCUAAUGUCAUUCAAUUCAAUUGGAUCAUAUUUUUGUCUAAUUUAUUUGAAAAACAAAUAAAAUUCAAUUCAAUUUGACUAAAGAUGGAUGCGUAGAUUAAUAAAUGGUUCACUUGACCCAUCACUUGACUCAACUUCUACAUGGUUUUUUAACCCUUUUAUAUUUUGUAAAGUUGUAAUUUAUAUUUCAAUAUAGUAUAUGGAUUUUUAUCUUAUUAAGGAUUGUUAUGGUUUUACAUAUAGAUAUAAAGUUUAGACUCUAUUUUAUUGUUUUAUGAUUUAUAGAUGGAUAUUUUUUUUUAAGCUUCAAUUUUAUUUUUUAAAUUUUGAUUAAAAAUAGAACAAUUGGAUCAAAUGAGAUACUUGUCGAAUGAAGAAAGUUCUUCAUCCACUCCAAUCUAAUCCAAUCGUAUAGAAGAUGAAGUCAAGUGCUGGAUUUAGAUAUCUCUGGUUAGAGACAAGAGAGCAAAAUUCAGUUGCAACCCAAUCUAUUAUUGUUUCUGUAAAUAACGAAAAGAUGAGAAAUAAUCGAACUUUUUUACUGAAAUAAACAAAUUCACUCUCUAGUCUCAACCGUAUUGGAUCAAUUUUUCUAUACAUGAAACAAAGGUAUAAGAAUAGAGGAUCUUCUUGUUGAAUACUUUGUGAUGAAGUAUAGGAAUUUGAAAUCUUAGCUUUCCAGCUCACUUAUAACAAAGUCAUUGUGAUACGCUUCAUGAUUAACGAAGUGAAACUAUCUAAAAUACCAUAUCCCUAAUAGCAUUUAGGAUCAAGUCCUACCUCAAACAAUCAUAAACCUUUUUUAGGUCUAUCUUAAUUAUCAUCAAAUAUUUUCUAAUUUUCUUUUAUACAUCUAGAGUUAAGAGCCAAUCAUAUAAUCAUAGUGGUAUUAUUGUGCUUCUUUGAAACAACACAUUGGUACUGACUAGCCAAUAUGUGCCAGUCAAGAGUAUUUGUUAUGAAACUCUGUGUAAACUUCUUAAUUGGUUAGCAUUCUUACUUCAAUGUAAUUAAUUUUUUACGUUCUGAAACUCUCAUAUGAAGCACAUCACGCAUUGCUUUCUUUAUACUUAACUUUUCUUAUAUGCAUGUCUUAUGUGAUAAGGAUAAGGAAAAUCUUCAAGUUUUCUAGUUUGUCGUGUUGGUAACAGACUAUUAACAUAUUUUACAAAAAUAAUGAUAAAGUUAUCUUCAGAUAACUUUUUCUACUCUAUCUGAAUUUAUCUUUUAAAUAACCUAAACUAAUCAGAUAAUUAGAGAGAAGAUAAUGCUAAUUAAUCUUGGUAAACUUCUAUCUUAGCCAAAUUAUCCUUUUACCAACCAUAAAAAGAUCACUAAUCUAAACUAAUAAAAUGACAAUUAUUACAAAGUUGAUCCUGCUAUUCUCUUAGGUCAUUAUCAGAAGGGGGAAAGUAAAGGUCUAAAGGCAAAAGGUCCAAACUUCUAUAUUUAAAAUUAGUUGAAAAUCACACCUUUUUUCUUUAUAAGUGGCAUGUUGAUGACAACUAUGUCACAUUUAGAAAGCAUUAAAUCUAGAUCCUCCUCAAACUUUUUACCUGUUAUAUUCUCCAACUCUUUCUCCAUCUUAAGUUUAUUAUGAUACAGUAGAGUGCAACUGAAAAGCUUCAAACGUUGGAGUAAAAGCCUUCUGAUGCGUCUAGCACCAAUAGUUCCCACCAUCUUACCUUCAAGAUUGUAAGCCCUGUAUGCAAUAGCUGCCACAUUCCACUCUUAUUGAUUGAUAACUUGAUGCUAUCUAAGUAAGAAAUUUUAUACAAGAACAAGGAUUCUCAUGAGCUCAUUUUUUGCAACUGAGACAACAUUGCUUCCUGUGACCUUUAUAGCAGUUAACCCAGCAAUAGCUACUACCUCCAAAUCUAUAUGAUCAGAACCAAUUCUAGUAAUGAGAAGCGCUUUUUUGCCCUCUUGAUCCUUUAUGCCGUAACAUCUGCGGGGUGGAAAGGUGUAGUGAUGAGGACAUGGAGAUCAAGAAUAUGCUUGUCAAGUUCUAUGACAAUUAUACAGUUGAAGAGCAAAAAAUCAACAAUCUAGCCAUCCUAAUAUUCUUGGAAAUAAAAGGCAUAAAUCUAAGAUCUUGAAAUCAUUUAAUGUCAUCACUACAAUUAGGACAUGGAGAUCAGCAGUUAAUCUUAUUGUUAAAGUAAAGGUCUAAAGGAAAAGGAUCCAAACUUCUAUAUUUAAAAUUAAUUGAAAAUCAUACCUUAUUUUCUUUGUAAGUGACAUGUUGAUGACAACAAUGUCAUAUUAAGAAAGCAUUAAAUCUAGAUCCUCCUUAAAAUUUGCCCAUGUCUGAUUCUCCAGCUCUGGCUCCAUCUUAAGUAUAUCAUGAUACAGUAAAGUGCAAUUAAAAGGCUUCAAACGUUGGAGUAAAAUCCUUUUGAUGCGUUAGCACCAACAGUUCCUACUAUCUUUCCUUUAAGAUUGUAAGCCUUGUAUGCAAUAACUGCCACAUUUCACUCCUUAUUGAUAACUUGAUGAUAUCCAGGUAAGAAAUUUCAUACAAGAACAAGGAUUCUCAUAAGCUCAUCUUAUGCAAUGGAGACAACAUUAAAAAGAGUGAAGCACUUAAUAACCUAUAUAUGCAGGAAUACAACUUCAACAAAGAACCUUAAUGCUUAAAAACAACACACUUACAAGCUUGUAGCUCCUCAUACUUUCAGCCUCGUGUGAAGAGAUGGACAAUGAUUGUCAAUGGUGAUCAUAUGCUAUAUUUCUAGCCUGUUGUUCAUAAUAAUUCUAUUAAGGAUUAAAUACUUGAUCAUCUUACAUCUUUUUAUGUGGAGGCCUACUUUAGUUUGUGUUAUGCCAGGUGUGUGUAAUGAGACAUAUAAUGAAUGUUGUGCAAAUAAAAUAUACACUCACUACAAUCCAACCAUUCUUUGUCAUCAGUUACAAUGAACUGGUGACCUUGUGAUUCCAGCCAGUCACCAAUGCCCAAAGCUCUUUCCAAGCAACCCACAAAAUUAGUGUUUGAUCAAAUUUUAAAAAUUAAAAAAAAAUUAAAACCUAUAGAGUAACAAUAAAAAUAUUAUUAAAAACAAAAACAUUAAACCUGGAGUUAAGGGGCUUCUUGGUCUUAGCCUUUUUAUAGAAGUUUUAUUUGUUUUUAAUUGCAUCAUUUAAUUUUAAUUUAUCAAAUAUUAUAUUCUCCAAUUUGGUGCUCAAUCUUUGGGUUUCAAAUUUUUUUACCUUGAACCUUUUGUAUAAGUUUUAUUAGUUUUCAAUUUCAUCUUUCAAUUUAAAUUAAUGGUAUUAUGUUUUCCAAUUUGGUCUUAUUAUUUUGAUUUCUAAUUUUUUUCUUAAUUGUUUUUGUAAAAGUUAUUAUUCUUUUUAAUUUCACUCUUCAAUCAAAACAUUCUUUUGAUUUUUUAUGUUAAUUUUUAUCCUCAUUCUUUAGAAUUUUUUUAUCCUUUUACUAAAUUGAUUUUUUUUUUCAAUCUCACCCUUCAAUCAAAUAUAAAUUUAUUUUAUAUUUUAAUUUUGAUCCUCAUUGUUUUAAUUAUUAUUUUUUAAUCUUUUUGUAUAAGAAAAAUGGUUUUCUAUAAAUAAGUACAUAGGAUAAUUUUAAUAAAUGAUUAAGUAAUCCAUUAAACAUGACGUGGUAAUAAAUAAGUAAAGAAUAUUGCAAGCACCAAGUUCUAAAAGUCCAUCUUUGAAGAAAAGAAAAAAAAUGAAAAAAUUCAGUUAGAACCAUAAUUAAGUCUCUAAGACAACUAUAUGCCCAUUAUUUAAUGUUUGACAAACAACACAUGUAGAAUAGACAACUAUAUGCCCGUAUUUUCAGUAUUUUCAUUUUUGUUGUGUAUUGCGGGGAAAAAAAAAAAAAAAAAGAACAUGGUCGGUCCGUCUUACAAGGAGAAGGGAAAGUGACCGCUGUCGGUGCUUUCGACGGGGGUUUUGAAAUUACCAGCACCAUCUUUGGACCUUCGAGAAGUCAACUUUCAUUUGAUUUUCGACUUUAUAAACGCGGCUAGCCCACCGAAUUUUAUUAGGGGAAAAGCCCAUUCCUAAGUUGCCAAUGCCAUUAGAUUCUGACUGAUGGCUCGCCUGUUUAAUAAUUUUUUAGUGGCUGACCGACCGAUCCUCGAAGCAGCGGAUCAUGCAAAGCGUCAAAUAACCAAAUGGAAACUGGGUGCUAACUAUAUUUCUGACUGCUAGUCAACUGUCUGUGUGCCCCUCAUUUACGUAUAAAUGAGCACGAGACCAGCUUCUUAUUCAUCAACAUCAAAUCAGUUAUCUCGAAAGCUUCUCUUUAUUUCACAGAGCACAGAGCCAACUCCUGAUUCAUCAAUAUCAUAUUAGUUCUCUCUAAAGCUUCCCUUUAAUUUACGGUUUUAAACCUUCUCUAGUUCUAGUUUGUGAGUAAAUUAAGAGAGACCAAAAAUGAGUGUGGAGAUUUUGGAUGGUGCCACCAUUGUCAACUUUCUGGAGGACGAGGAAGCAUUCAACGCGCAAAUAUGUGACCGCUUCGCCCACCUUGAUUCAGACCAUGAUGGCCGGCUUUCCUACGGGGAAAUGUUGAAGGAGCUGCAGUGUUUGAGGUUAUUGGAAACCCACUUCGGCGUGGAUGUGGAAACAGACCCGGAUGAGCUUGCUCUCGUCUAUGGUUCUCUUUUUGUCCAAUUUGAUCAUGACUUGAAUGGGACAGUGGAGUUAGAAGAGUUCAAGUCAGAGACCAAGCAAAUGAUGCUAGCCAUGGCCACUGGUAUGGGUUUCUUGCCUGUUCAGAUGGUCCUGGAAGAAGACAGUUUCCUGAAGAAGGCUGUGGAGUGGGAAUCUACUAAACUCGUUGCCUGACUAAUUCCACAUCCAUUACCCUAUACAUGACUCAUUAAUUGUCUUCGUUAUUUCUUUCUUCUCCGAAUGCAUUCCAAGUUUAGCUGAAUGUAGCAAAGAAAAUAAAUGAAAUGCUCUGUUAUUGGUGCAAUUUGGCAUCUUAAAACUCGGUUCUCUCCUAAUGCAAUUUGGUCAUGACCAUCCAGCCAUAGUUAAUAUAACGAAAGGCUGACAGAAACACGAAUAUCUUUCCUCUUUCAAGAGGGCUUCAUCAACUAAUAGAUACAUGGGCAGAAGGAUUGAGCUGGAUGCAUCUCAGUCAUCGUUCAAAAUUUAGCUUCAAGGGAAUGGAAUUGGUAGAACAGAGUUGCAUCAGAAUGGAAAAAGAACUUGCGUGUGUCAGGUCCAGGGGAACAGAUAAAAAUUAAAGAAAUAACUGUCCUCGUAUAAAGUAUAGUUAAAUAAAAAUUUCGAGUCGAAUCUGUUGUGCGUCUGAAAACCUAAUUCCAUCAUGAUUUGUUUAGCAUGCGUAUGAAACAAACUUCCCGCAUUGAAAAGAGGGAAGCAAUUAUUUAAAACGGUAGAGAUUGCGUUUCAAUCAAAACGCAGGAGCCAAGCGUUUGGUAAUAUCAAAAACGCUAAAAAUGACCGGUGGGACCCAUGCCAAUUCAUGUUUUAAACGCGACAUUCGCGAAGCAGCUCUAGGCUGCUUUUUGAAAUUUUGUAUUCGCGUGCACAGUGCAAUUCACUUGCACUGUUCGGGUGAUUUUUUUUUAUUUUUUUUUUAGUGUGUAUAGUUUUUGUAUAUAUUUUUUUUUAAAAAAACUAGUUUUACAUUGUCAUGUAAACAAUAUUUUUUUUUCCUGAAAAACUAGUAUAGAGCGAAUUAAAUUCACUCGCACUGUAAUAUCAAAUUAAUUUUAUUCAUGAUAAUAUUUUAUCUAAUUUUAUUGCAAGCUCAAAAAAUUAUAGAAACUGUAGUUCUUGUCGAAUGAAUUUUGUACGUAAUGGAAUUGUAGAUGGUUUAAUGGCAUAAUAAAAAAUAUUUUAUAUAAAGUAUUAUUUAUUUCAUGAAGUAAUAGUAAUGGUUAAAUCUACAAUAUUUAAAUUAAAAAUCAUCAAUUUUAAUAUGUAUAUUUUAAUUAUUUUAUAAUCUCAAUUUGAAAAGUAUUUUUUUAACCAAACACAUUAAACUACUUUUUCUUCAACCUCAAUUUCAACCACAGUUUUAACCAAACACCUAUUUUUUCAAACCAACCUCAACUAAAAGUACUUUUUAUAAAACAACUUUUUUCAAAUCACAACCACAAAAGCUACCGCAAUACCAAACACACACUUAAUAUCCUAUAUAUGCAAAAACGCAACUUGAACGAAGAACCUGGAUGGUUAAAAACAACACACUUGCAGGCUUGUAGCUCCUGAUAUUUUCAGCCUCGUGUGAAGAUGGACAAUGAUGGUUGAAAAAUCUUUGUAUGUUUUAUCUAGGUAGAUUACUCAUAAUAAUAAGAUUAUUUUUAAAAAAUCUUUGUCUUUUUUACCUGGGUAGCUCAUCCAUUGUAAUAAGACUACUCGAAAAAAAUCUUUGUAUUUCUCUACUUGAAUAGGUCACCCAUUACAAUAAAACUACUUUGAAAAGACCUUUGAGUUUUUCAUUUGGGUGGGUCACCCAUGAUAAAUUGAACAUUUCAGAAUCUUUGAAUUCUACCAAUAGACAGGUUGCUUGGUACUACCAUAUCACUUCAAAAGUCUUUCACAAAGAUAAUCUUUUUCUUUAGAAACUCUAUCUCCUUUUUUUUCGAGUACACUUUCUAACCCUCAUUCUUCAGAUAGUGUGCUUUUUAUCCCUAUCUAUUUUUUUCUGAGUGCACUUUUAAGCCCUUACUACAAACAUUUUCAGAAAGAUUGACCAUUUCUUAAUAUGGUGAGUCCAUAAUCUCGUUCUUUUUCUUCAUCUUUACAAAACUUAUUGUCUAAAGUCUCUCACGAGACUUUCGUUAUAAAGAUUGUAAAGAGAGAGGCAACUGUCAUAACUCAUUUCUGGAUUAUUCCCUAAAUUCACAUUUUUUUUCUUUCCAAAAUAAAAGUCAAAAAAGAAAAUAAAGAAAGCAAGAAAACUAGCGACAUAUAGGAAUAUUAAGUUGUGACUUUGGAAGCCUAAUUGUAUCCUAUUUUACCCACAACUGGAGAGACAAUGUAAAUUAAAGGUCAAAUUAAAUGAUUAUUGGAUGAAUCUACUUAAAAAUUAAGCUUGAGGAUAUAAUUAGAAUUUUAAUAGGCCAAUUUGAUUUAAUCAUGGGCCAAAUUGAGAAUUUAAUUAUGUUUAAGAAUUAAUUUGGGUAAUUAAAGGAUUUAAUGAGGUGCAAGAACUUAAUUAUACUUUAAAUAGGUCAAAUUAAUUUUAUUAAGGGCUUAAUUGAUGAAAAUCUAAGUUUAGAAGCCCAAUUUGAGCUUAAUUGAGAAAAUUGGAAUUUUAGAAAACCAAAUAUAAUUUCCUUAAAGUCAAUUGGUUCAAAUUAGGGGUAAAAUCGCAAGAAAAACAAAUUUUUUUGGUCAAUUAAGGGUUAAAUUGAAGAGAUUUGCAACUAAGGACCAUUUUGCAAAACAUAUCGAACUAUGGGGUAAUUCAUGAAAAUCAGGGAUGAAAUUGAAGAAAAUUUAAAGUUUGAUGGUCAAAUUGCAUAAAUCCAAGACCAAGGAUCAAAUUGAAAAAGAUGCUAAAAUUCAGGGCUGAUAUUGAAAUCCAGCAAGGGCAAAAUUGUAUUAAAUCAAAAGUUUGGAGUCAAUUAGGGGUCAAAUUGAAAGAAAUCAAAAGCUGAAGGACCAAAUUGAACUUUGGAAAACUACCUUAAUUUAAGGUCCAAAAUGGAUUUGUUUUUUAACAUUAAAAAAAAAAGGCAACCAGACGACGCAUCGUCUAGUUAAUGUCCAUUGUCUUCUUCUUCUGACCCGAAAACGUUGUUUGGAUGGCUAUUUUUCAUGGGCAUUUAAUACUUCAUCUCUCAAUCAAACCGGACAAACCAUACACCACCAUGAUGAGCUGACAUUAUACUUCACCCCAGAGUGGAUCUCGCCGGCUAAUUAUCCCUACAGCCGCCACAGUGUCGCCUCAAAUUGGUCAAUCUAACUAACAUUUAGCAACCAGCUUUUUCAGGUCAUGAUAACAACUUUGAACCAACGGUUAAGAUCCUUCUGUGUCGAAUCAAGAGCCAAGAUUGGCACUAGUAAAGACAAGAUGUCCAUCUUCCAUGCCCCGAGCAUCAAGAAAUUAGAGCCCAAAUUUGGUGCAAAUAAGUUUUUCUUACCAGAUCUUUUGUUCUUCUCCACCAGCCAUCUUCUUCCUCUUCUUUCGCAACAUCUUCGCUUCUUUCGCAACAUCUUCGCUUCCAGCAAUGCUGCCAACAACACGUUGGCCUUCCUAGCAUUGCUAAUUAGCAAUCCCCCAUAGUUGGUAACCUUUUCUUCCCCUUUUUGGAUGCAAACGAGGCAGCCAUUUGUAAGCAUAACAUUUGGUUCUGCAUGCAAAAUUCAACCACUUCAUAUGGUCAUUGGGUCGGGCCAAUGACCAUGUGAAGAUAGGUUGGACCCCUUCCAACCCAACCCAUGAUGGCUUGGUUAAGUACAGCCCAUAAAAAAGGAUGAAGGCCAGGUCUGUUGGGCUGCCUGGCGCCACGACCUGACCCGGCAAGGUCCGGCCCAAAUGGCUGGGUAGGGCCCAGCCCAAUAUAUAUAAUAAUAAUAUUAAAAUAAAAAUAAAAACUUUGAAAGCCCUUCCAAAAAAUUUGUGAUUUUCUCGCACGUUUUUCUAUCAAUUUUGCAUAAUAUCGGGCUGUAUAAUUACACUAUAUGAUACAUAUCCGAUAUUAAAACACCUAGUUUUUUCUGAAACAUUUCAAAAUAAAAUUCAAAAUUUUUUAAAUUAAUUUCCUCUUUCAAAAAAACAAAAAAUGUUUUGUUUUCAUGCAUAUAGUCAAAUCCUCAAAGUUUUCCAAGCAUGUUUUCAAAAAAAAAAAACAAAAAAUUGUAUUUUUCUCAUGUUUUAAAAUAUAAAAUAGAUAUCAUAACUAAUUUAUAAUUAUCCAUUAGGGUUUAACCAAAAUGUCAAAAACCCUUCACCAAUUAUUUUUUUCAUUUUAUAUUAUGGUUUAAAUGUAGACUUAAAUAUUUGGGGGCGUAAAACUAUACAGUAGAGUAUACCCUCAGGUAUUAAAGACAAAAGUUCAAUAUAAAUGCGAUACUAAAAUUUAGACUUUAGAACGGUUGGAUUUAACAUCAUAAGGUAUAGAUUUUGUCAUGAAGAGAGAUCUAUCUUAAACCUUAGACGAUUUCAACGAAUAGAAACUUAACUUAGAAUAACAAUCAAAAAACAAUGUACCUUACUUCAGGUAGGCUGCACUGGAGAUAAUGCGUCUUUUCCUUACACAAUCAGUCUCUUACUCAGACUCUCACAGACUAUAUGUUUCCUAGUAACCAUUAUAUUAAAUGGUGACUCUUAAAUCUUAAUUAUAAUUUUAUGCUUACAUCAAAAACUCUUUUUUUUUCUAACAAUACCUUUCAAGAGGCACUUAAAACGCGUCGUUUGACGUCGCCUGUGACAUAAUCCAUUAAACAUGAAAUGGAAAUAAAUAAGUAAAGAAUAUUGCAAGCAUCAAGUUGUCUAUCUCCGAAAAAAAAAAAGAAGAAGAAAAAUUUUGGAACCUUAAUUAAGUUUGUUUAAAUCUCUAUCACACCCAUUAUUUAAUGUUUGACAAACAACACAUGUAGAAUAGGUGAAACCAAACCUACAGUACAAUAUUUGCAUUUUUGUUGUGUUGUGAGAAAAAAAGAAAAGAAAAAGAACAUGGUCUGUCUCGGAAGGAGAAGGGAAAUUGACCGUUGUCGCUGCUUUUGACAGGGGGUUUGAAAUUAGCAACACCAUCUUGGGACCUUCGAGCAAGUCAACUUUCAUUUAAUUUUCGACUUUAUAAACACGGCUAGCCCACCGAAUUUUAUUAGGGGAAAAGCCCGUUCCCAAGUUGCCAUUGCCAUUAGAUUAUGACUUAUGGCUCACCUGUUUAAGAUAGUUCUAAUAAUAAAAUUUUAGUGGCUGACCGACCGAUCCUCGAAGCAGCAGAUUCUGCAAAGCGUCAAAAAACCAUGCAGCAAAGGGUAAUUAGAAGCAAGUCAGAAAAGCAAAAACCAAAUGGAAACCGGGUGCUGACUGCUCGUCAACUGUCUGUGUGCCCCUCAUUUACGUAUAAAUAAGCACAAGACCAACUUCUUAUUCAUCAACAUCAAAUCAGUUAUCUCGGAAAGCUUCUCUUUAUUUCACAGAGCACAGAGCCAACUCCUGAUUCAUCAAUAUCAUAUUAGUUCUCUCUAAAGCUUCCCUUUAAUUUACGGUUUUAAACCUUCUCUAGUUCUAGUUUGUGAGUAAAUUAAGAGAGACCAAAAAUGAGUGUGGAGAUUUUGGAUGGUGCCACCAUUGUCAACUUUCUGGAGGACGAGGAAGCAUUCAACGCGCAAAUAUGUGACCGCUUCGCCCACCUUGAUUCAGACCAUGAUGGACGGCUUUCCUACGGGGAAAUGUUGAAGGAGCUGCAGUGUUUGAGGUUAUUGGAAACCCACUUCGGCGUGGAUGUGGAAACAGACCCGGAUGAGCUUGCUCUCGUCUAUGGUUCUCUUUUUGUCCAAUUUGAUCAUGACUUGAAUGGGACAGUGGAGUUAGAAGAGUUCAAGUCAGAGACCAAGCAAAUGAUGCUAGCCAUGGCCAAUGGUAUGGGUUUCUUGCCUGUUCAGAUGGUCCUGGAAGAAGACAGUUUCCUGAAGAAGGCUGUGGAGUGGGAAUCUGCUAAACUCGUUGCCUGAUUAAUUCCACAUCCAUUACCCUAUACAUGACUCAUUAAUUGUCUUCGUUAUUUCUUUCUUCUCCGAAUGCAUUCCAAGUUUAGCUGAAUGUAGCAAAGAAAAUAAAUGAAAUGCUCUGUUAUUGGUGCAAUUUGGCAUCUUAAAACUCGGUUCUCUCCUAAUGCAAUUUGGUCAUGACCAUCCAGCCAUAGUUAAUAUAACGAAAGGCUGACAGAAACACGAAUAUCUUUCCUCUUUCAAGAGGGCUUCAUCAACUAAUAGAUACAUGGGCACAAGGAUUGAGCUGGAUGCAUCUCAGUCAUCGUUCAAAAUUUAGCUUCAAGGGAAUGGAAGAACAGAGUUGCAUCAGAAUGGUAAAAGAAUUUGCGUGUCAGGUCCAGGGGAAUAGAUGAAAAUUAAAGAAAUAACUGUCCUCAUAUAAAGUCUAGUUAAAUAAAAACUUCGAGUCGAAUCUGCGGUGCGAUUUAACUAGAUUUUGCGAUCUAAACACCAGAUUCCAUCAUGAUUUGUUUAGCAUGCGUAUGAAACAAACUCCCCGCAUUGGAUCAAAAAACAAUGACAUCUCAGGAGAUGGAAUGAAGGAGAGAAUGCUUUCGCCAAACAGCUCAAACAGGGAUACCAGAAGAUGCCCAUUAUUCAAGUCUUCGUUCAAACCUUGUUGAGAAUGUGAUGCGGAACAAUAAAUCAAAAAAUAAAAUAAAAAAUUAAAGCAGUAAAGAAUGAAGCCUUAAAGAAAUAAGUUAAGAAAUAAAAGUAAAGAAAGGGUAAAGCAAAAAAAAAAAACAGAGAGAAUUCAGGAAGAAAAGUCUAUCAUUUUUAUUUAAUCAUAACAAACUUUUGCAAAAACUAAAAGAGAAAUAUAUAAAUAGCAUAACCCUAAAACAUCCGUUUAUUGGGUUCAACUCAUCAAUUAAAAUUUUCUAGUAUAAAUAAGUCAAAUAAAUAAAAUAAAACAAUGAAAUAGGCCCAAAUGGACUCAAUCUUCCAACCAAAGAGUAACAUGCUAGGCCAUUCUAUGUCGUCUCUGUCCAUAUACUCGUGUAAUUUGCAGUGUGGGUCUAGAGUCCCCACCAACUCUCCCAGUGUAGCUCUGGAUGACCCUAAUAGCACUUCCAAAAAUUUGGAUCAAUCUGCUGCAAAGUAUCUAUAGUGAUCCAAAUACAAUUUGAAUCAGGUUGGCCCACCCAAGAAUUAGAAACCGUUGAACCUCACUAUUCCUAGUAAAAAAAACUUGUUCAACCAUAAUGACAUCAAUAUUAUCUUUUUGUGUUUAGAUCAAGGUCAAAGGGGUAGAAGUUUUAAUAAGAUCAUCAAGAGGAGAGUUAGGUGGCAUCUCAAAGGGAUCAUUUGGAAUAGGAUGUUGUUUCUGGUACGCAACUAAAUCCGCAAUGUUAAAUGUAAAGUUAAUGCUAAAAUCAAGUGGUAAAUCAAGAACACAAGCAUUUGGACCAACCCCUUGUAGCACUUUGAAUGGCCCUGCACUACGUGCAUGCAAUUUUUGAUUAGUUCCUAAAGGAAACUGCUUAUGUCUAUUUCGUAUCAUAACUUAGUCUCCUACAUUAAAUUUAUUAUAUCAUCUAUGUAAAUAAGCUUAGAGUUUAUAUUGUGCAUUACUUGUUUGAAUCUGCUUAGUGAUCUCAAUAUGCAAAUUCUAAAUUUUACGUGUAAAAAACUUUGCUAACUCAAACACCUUAGCAUGAAGAGACAUGGGAAGAACGUUUAAAGGUUUCCUAGGCUUGUAACCAUGUACAACUUCAAAGGGAAUCAUGCCAUUUGACAUAUUGACAAAACUAGUAAAUGCAAACUAGGUCAUAGGAAGAACCAAAUCCCAAUUUCUAUUAUGAUAACUCACUAGACACCUCAAAAGGUUGCCUAAUCUGGGUGGUAGGCACUAGAAAACUUCAACUUAGUUCCCACUAUAUGGCGAAGGGUUUUCUAGAAAUAACUCGUAAAUCUAACAUCCUUAUCUAAGACUAUGGUUUGGGGAAAAUCAUACAGCUUGACAAUCUCGUUAAAAUAGAGUUCCCCAACUCUAGAAGCAUCUGUGGUCUUAGUAAAAAGGAUAAAAUGAUCCAUUUUAGAGAAACGGUCAACAACCAUAAAAAAUGAAUCACGCUUCUUUGCAGUACGUGGAAGUCGACACACAAAAUCCAUACUUACAUUUUGCCAAGGGCAAGUAAAACAGGUAACGGGGUGUAAAGACCACUAUUUUGUUUUUCAGACAAUUGUAUAUUAAUGUUAUUGUUAUUAUAUUAUAGUCUACAUCUCUUUUCAAACUAGACUAAAACAAAUUGAUGUUCCCUCUUUUAAAUGGGUUUAUUUCUUCCAAAAUGUUCUGAAAGACCUUCAACAUGAAUCUCUCAUAUCAAAAAUUCACACACGGAUGUUUUCGAGAUAUAAAGCUUAUUAUCCCAAAACAAAUACCCUUCUUUGAGGUGAUAACUAUCUACAACAUGGUUAUUCUCAUCUCUCGAAGUCAUAUAUACUUCUCUAAAUUCUGAGCAAGAUUCAUACUCCUCUUUGAGCCUCUCAAAUCCAGUAACUUCUCAUUACGGAUAACAGUGUUACUCGACGAUUCAAGGCAUCUGCCGUUUUAUUCUAGAUUUAUGUUUCAAAACAAAUGAAUAACCUUGCAAAUAUUCAACCCAAUGACCAUGCCUAUUUCAACUGCAAAUAGAGAAAAGGAACAGACUAUGCGUUUCUAAGGCAAAUAAGGAGCAUAAACAAGUUGUUUUCCAACCCGGUGAUUGGGUUGGGUGCACAUGCAUAAGGAACAAUUUCCUAACCAAAGGAAAUCAAAAUUACAUCCUCGUAGUGAAGACCCAUUUUAGAUUUUUAAAGAGGAUCAAUGACAACGCAUUCAAAAUUGAUCUUUUAGGUGAAUAUGGUGUUACUGCUACCUUUAAAGUUGUUGAUCUUACUUUGUUUGACAUAGGUUUUGAUUCGAGGUUGAAUCCUUUCGAGGAGAGAGGGGAUGAUGUGGAUCAGCCCACAAACUCCAGCAAGAACCCAUUACAUGUUCUAAAUGGGCUAAUGACUCGGGGUAAGACAUAGGCAUUGAAAGAGGCAUUGAAUGCAUUGGUUUUGAAUGUUUCGACCAAGUCAAAUUUGAAGGGUCCAUUGGAGUAUCAAGAGAAGGCCUUAGUACAUCUUAUCCAUGUGCAAAAAGGACCUAAUCUAACCUUAUUUGGGCCAUGAGGUUUCGGUAAUAAGGUUGCCACUUUUCCAAAUGUUCGGUCAGUCUUGUUUUUAUAAUGUUUCUAUGUAUUUUUUAGAUUCCUAAUUAGUUUUGGACUUGCUAUUAUGUAUUAGAACAUUAAUUAUUUCCUUUAAGUAUUAGAAUUUAUUAUUUUAUUUAUUUUCUUGUUAGGUGAGGAGAAAACACAACAAAGAAAACAAAAAAAUCCAAGUUGACUUAGGAAGUGGCGGCAAAGCUUCCUAAUUAUGCAAGGAGAUUAUUCCAAUAACUUCAAUUAUGUUUCCUAAUAUUACAAGGAUCCUAAGAGGUGGCAAAAGAAGGGAAUUAAUACCUUAAAUUACUUUCCUUUCAAAAUAAGAAAAAAAAACAUAAGUUUAAGAUCAAAAUCCUACUACAACUUGCAAACAACAUAGGCGGCUACCUUUCCUUUAGUUUCAAGGAUUAAUGAGAUGUAUGGAAGAUUAUAAAUAAGCCUUGAAUCAAUUUUGUAAUAUUUUCUUUCCUUCUCUUCUUCUCACGGUGAAAUAAAGAUUUAAUAUUAUAGGCUUUUUUAUAUUUUGUUUAGGCUUAAUUAAUAUAUAUAUUUUUAGCUAGGAUCCAAGGCUUGUUUGGAUUAGGGUUUGGGUUUACUAGUAAAGGUUUUGGGUCAGUUUUUAUAUGUGGGUCAGUUUAGCCCCCAAGGGUGGAUUCAUUUAGGUUAAUUUUUUAGAACUAUUUAAACACAUGAAAGCCUAAAUUUCAGCAGCGAUUGAUGAAUAAUACUUAUGAAUUUUUCAAUUUUAACGUGUGAGAGAGAUUCUUGUAUUUUUUGGUUCUUGAACGAAAUGAAUCUAACUUCUCAAAGAUUAAUUGGCUUCAUGGCGUCAUUCGACAUCAUUCCAAUAAUGUUGGUGUCUUAGGACAGGUUCCUAUUGUGUGACACUCCUAUCAGAUCAAUUUUGUCUUUUUAGGAUCAGAUCUCAAUCUUGAAUGUGGAUUGUGUGACCACGUAAUCACGAGGUUCACAUCAGUGUUCAAGAGAUGCUAAUAAAUAUCUUUGAGUGGUAAAGGUAUGUCAAUAUUUGAUACGAGCACUUGAGCAUCCGAUGACAUAAUGAGAUCCAAUUGGACAAGACUCCUAAUCUGAGAGCCAUUUCCCUAUUCAUAUUCUAUCAUGACUUUAGAGUUCACAUUUGGGGUUUCCUCGAAGGUGAUCCAUCUUGCCUCAAUAAGUUUGAGGAACUUGUCUUUAAAAGCAUAACAACUUUGAAUGUUAUGACCACUAGUGCCAUCAUGAUACUCACAUAUCUAGUUAGGAUCAUACCAUUUUAGAUAUAGGGGUUGAAAUGGUUUCUAGAGAAUCAAAAUAAUUUGUCGAAUAUUGACCAAUAUUUUAAAUAUCUCCUUAAAAGAUAAAGGAAAGGGCGAUAGAGUUUUCUUUAACUACUGUGACUUUUCAUAUAUUUGCUUUUUAGAUCGAACCUAAUUAGCCAUUUGAGGAGAAUGAUUCGGAUGCUAAGAUACAUGAUGAUCUUAAUUCAUACUUCCCAUAUGGAAGCUAUCUUCUAUUUUGUCAAAUGACAUAGUAUUAAACCUAUCUUCUUAAUUCCAUAUCCUUCUCAAUUUCAAUCCUUGCUCCACCCUCUCUGCUGUCAUUAUUAUCUCUAUAAAAUAAGUUGAUCAAUUACAAGUUAUGUAAUCACAAUAAUGAGUCUUUAAAGUAUUGAUGAAGAUGGAAUUGAUCUCAUUUUAUAGUAGUGGAGCGUAAACUUGUGUUUCCAUUUCUCGCAGCCUCAUCGCAUAUUCCUUGACUGACUCAUCAUUUCUCAUCUCAAUUCUUUGAAUGUCUAACCUGGUUAGAGCCAUCUUUAAGUUGAAUCCAAAUUAUUGCAGAAAUGCAUCAGCCAAGUAUUCUCAUUUCUUCUUUUCAGAGCCAUUUAAAUCCAAGUUGGGUUUUAAAAUUAUGAUAAUAAUCAUUUUUAUCCUUACAUGUCUUAUUUGUACAAUUUUGAAAUUGAGAGUUUUUUACAAGGAUAUUUUAGAAAUAAAAAAUAACAAAUAUUAUUUCUAGAGACAUGUCCUCUAUGUACCUUCUAUUUUGAAAGUAUAGACAUUCACUCCAAAAUUAUCCGAGAAACAUAUUUCUUUUUAUGUUUUUAUCUCUUUAACAAAACAUAUUUAUGUCUUCAUUGUCUUCGUAUGUUCUGUCUCAGGACAGUAACCAAACACUACCUAGUAUACACUAUUUAAACUAUUUUUAAUGAUUUGGAUAUUAAUUAUCUUUUUUGAAUAAAAUUUCAAGAGUCAAGUUUCUCUAUACAACUUCACUGUUAUUAUUGUUCCAAGGGUUUUUGAGAAAUAAUAAACCCUAAUACUUCUAGUAAGCUGCAUCAUUUGUAUAAAGAAAGCAUCAUUGUUAACUGGAAUAUUUUAAAAGCUUAAACACCUAAAAAAAGUUAGACUGACAAAUAGACUCCUAAGCAACUAAAUGCUUUUCCUAUGACCCUUUGAAUUACCCUAUCAUAAUAGAAAGUGAUUCAUCAUGCUAAAGAUAAUCGAGUCGUCUGCCAACCUUGCACUCCAUUCUGAACUUUUUCCACCACUAUACUAUAUGUAUUUGUUAACAAGCACAUGUAACAUAGGAACUCCAAAAUAUUACCAAAUAUUUUCUAUUAAAGCAAACCCUAAAUAUGAAUUGAUAUCACGAGUCACCCUUAGACGAAUAAAACAAUCUGGUUUUAGCCACACUAACAUUUUUUUACCAAAAAGUUACAAAAGUCAUGUAUGAUAACUUUGAUUUGCUUCAAAUCAGGUUUUGCAAAAAAGAAUUGUCACCAACAAAUACAGAUGACAACUUCACCCGACUCGUUUGGAAUCUAGUGUCAUUCAAUUCGGUUGGAUCAUAUUUUUAUCCAAUUUUAUUUGAAAAAUAAAUAAAAUUCAAUUCAAUUUGACUAAAGAUAGAUGCGGAGGUUAAUAAAUGGUUCACUUAACCCAUCACUUGACUCAACUUUUACGUGGUUUUUUAACCCUUUUAUAUUUUAUAGAGUUGUAAUUUAUAUUUCAAUAUAGUAUAUGGAUUUUUAUCCCAUUAUUCACGGAGGAUUGUUAUGGUUUUACAUGUAGAUGUAAAGUUUAGACUCUAUUUUAUUGUUUUAUGAUUUAUAGAUGGAUAUAUUUUUUUUUUAAGCUUCAAUUUUAUUUUUUAAAAUUUGAUUAAAAAUAUAACAAUUGGAUCAAAUGAGGUACUUGUCGAAUGAAGAAAGUUCUUCAUCCAAUCCAAUCGUAUACAAGAUGAAGUCAAGUGCUGGAUUUAGAUAUCUCUGGUUAGAGAUGGGGGAGCAAAAUUCAGUCGCAACCCAAUCUUUAUCGUUCUUGUAAAUAAAGAAAGGAUGAGAAAUAAUCAAACCCCUUUACUAAAAUAGACAAAUUCAUUCUCUAGUCUCAACCGUAUUGGAUCAAUUUUUCCAUACAUAAAACAAAGGUAUAAGAAUAAAGGAUCGUCAUAUUGAAUACCUUGUGAUGAAGUAUAGGAAUUUGAAAUCUUAGCUUUCCAACUCACUUAUAACAAGGUUACUGUGAUACGCUUCAUGAUUAAGGAUGUGAAACUAUCCAAAAUACCAUAUCCCUAAUAACGUUUAGGAUCAAGUCCUACCUCAAACAAUCAUAAACCUUUUUUAGGUCUAUCUUAAUCAUCAUCAGAUAUAUUCUAAUUUUCUUUUCUACAUCUAGAGUUAAGAGCCAAUCAUACAAUCAUAGUGGUAUUAUUGUGCUUCUUUGAAACAAAACACUGGUACUGACUAGCGAAUAUGUGCCAGUCAAGAGUAUUUGCCAUGAAACUCUGUAUAAACUUCUUAAUUGGUUAGCAUUCUUACUUCAAUGUAAUUAAUGUUUUUACAUUCUGAAACUCUUAUUUGAAGCACAUCACGCAAUGCUUUCUUUAGACCUAACUUUUCUUAUAUACAUGUCUUAUGUGAUAAGGAUAAGGAAAAUCUUCAAUUUUCCUAGUUUGUCAUGUUGGUAACAGACUGUUAACGUGUUUUGACAAAAACAAUGAUAAAGUUAUCUUCAGAUUACUUUUUCUACUUUAUAUUAACUUAUCUCUUAAAUAAUCUAAACUAAUCAAAUAAUUACAGAGAAGAUAAUACUAACUAAUCUUGAUAAACUUCUAUCUUAGCUAAAUUAUCCUUUUACCAACCAUAAAAAGAUCUUCACUAAUCUAAACUAAUAAAAUGACAUUUAUUACAAAGUUGAUCCCGUUAUUCUCUUAGGUUAUUAUUAGAUGGGGGAAAGUAAAGGUCUAAAGGCAAAAUGUCAAAACUUCUAUAUUUAAAAUUAGUUGAAAAUCAUACCUUGUUUUCUCUGUAAGUGGCAUGUUGAUGACAACUAUGUCAUAUUUAGAAAGCAUUGAAUCUAGAUCCUCCUCAAACUUUGCUCCUGUUUGAUUCUCCAACUCUGUCUUCAUCUUAAGUCUAUCAUGAUACAGUAGAGUGCAAUUGAAAGGUUUCAAACGUUAGAGUAAAAGCCUUCUGAUGCAUCUAGCACCAACAGUUUCCACUGUCUUUCCUUCAAGAUCGUAAGCCCUGUAUGUAAUAACUGCCACAUUCUACUUCCCAUUGAUUGAUGACUUAUGAUAUCCAGGUAAGAAAUAUCAUACAAGAACAAGGAUUCUCAUGAGCUCAUCUUUUGCAACUGGGACAACAUUGCUUCUUGUGACCUCUGCAGUAGUUAACCAGGUAGCAGCCGCUGCCUUCAAAUCUCUAUGAUCAGAACCAAUUCCAGCAGUGAGAAGAGGUUUGUUGCCCUCUUGAUCAUUUAUGUCGUAACAUACGCAGGGUGGAAAGGUGUAGUGAUGAGGACAUGGAGAUAAGGAAUAUGCUUGUCAAGUUCUGUGACAAUUACACAGUCGAAGAGCAAAAAAUCAACAAACUGGCCAUCCUAAUAAUCUUGGAAAUAAAAGGCACAAAUUGAGCAUCUUGAAAUCAUUUAAUGUCAUCACUACGAUUAGGACAUGGAGAUCAGCAGUAGAUCUUGUUGUUCUCUUAGGUCAUUAGGGAAAGUAAAGGUCUAAAGGCAAAAGAUCUAAACUUCUAUAUUUAAAAUUAGUUGAAAAUCAUACCUUGUUUUCUAUGUAAGUGGCAUGUUGAUGACAAUUAUGUCAUAUUUAGAAAGCAUUGAAUCUAGAUCCUUCUCAAACGUUACACUUGUCUGAUUCUCCAAUGUGGCUCUAUGUUAAGUCUAUCAUGAUACUGUAUAGUGCAAUUGAAAGGCUUCAAACGUUGGAGUAAAAGCCUUCUGAUGCGUCCAACACCAACAAUUCCCAUUGUCUUUCCUUCAAGAUCAUAAGCCCUGUAUGCAAUUGCUACCACAUUCCACUCCUCAUUGAUAACUUGAUGAUAUCUAGGUAAGAAAAUUCAUACAAGAACAAGGAUUCUCAUGAGCUCCUCUUCUCCAACUGAGACAACAUUGAAAAUAGGGAAACACUCAAUAUCCUAUAGAUGCAGGAACACAACUUGAACAAAGAACCUAAAUGCUUAAAAACAACACACUUGCAGGCUUGAAGCUCCUUAUAUUUUUAGCCUCGUGUGAAGAUGUGGACAAUGAUUGUCAACGGUGAUCAUAUGCUAUAUUUUCAGCCUCUUGUUCAAGGUAAUUCUAUUGAGGAUUAAAUACUUACUCAUCUUAUAUCUUUCUAUAUGGAGGCCUAUUUUAGUUUAUGUUAUGUCAGGUGCGUGUUAUGUCAGGUGCAUCCUCCAUGAAGAAAAAAAAUGAAAAAAUUCAGUUAGAACCAUAAUUAAGUUUGUUUAAUUCUCUAAGACAACUAUAUGCCCAUUAUUUAAUGUUUGACAAACAACACAUGUAGAAUAGACAACUAUAUGCCCGUAUUUUCAUUUUUGUUGUGUAUUGCGGGGAAAAAAAGAAGAAGAAGAAGAAAAAGAACAUGGUCGGUCCGUCUUACAAGGAGAAGGGAAAGUGACCGCUGUCGGUGCUUUCGACGGGGGUUUUGAAAUUACCAGCACCAUCUUUGGACCUUCGAGAAGUCAACUUUCAUUUGAUUUUCGACUUUAUAAACACGGCUAGCCCACCGAAUUUUAUUAGGGGAAAAGCCCAUUCCUAAGUUGCCAAUGCCAUUAGAUUCUGACUGAUGGCUCGCGUGUUUAAUAAGUUUUUAGUGGCUGACCGACCGAUCCUUGAAGCAGCGGAUCAUGCAAAGCGUCAAAUAACCAAAUGGAAACUGGGUGCUAACUAUAUUUCUGACUGCUAGUCAACUGUCUGUGUGCCCCUCAUUUACGUAUAAAUGAGCACGAGACCAGCUUCUUAUUCAUCAACAUCAAAUCAGUUAUCUCGAAAGCUUCUCUUUAUUUCACAGAGCACAGAGCCAACUCCUGAUUCAUCAAUAUCAUAUUAGUUCUCUCUAAAGCUUCCCUUUAGUUUACGGUUUUAAACCUUCUCUAGUUCUAGUUUGUGAGUAAAUUAAGAGAGACCAAAAAUGAGUGUGGAGAUUUUGGAUGGUGCCACCAUUGUCAACUUUCUGGAGGACGAGGAAGCAUUCAACGCGCAAAUAUGUGACCGCUUCGCCCACCUUGAUUCAGACCAUGAUGGCCGGCUUUCCUACGGGGAAAUGUUGAAGGAGCUGCAGUGUUUGAGGUUAUUGGAAACCCACUUCGGCGUGGAUGUGGA
This 25860-nucleotide long non-coding RNA is filed under the name Populus trichocarpa (black cottonwood). RNAcentral's name for it is "long non-coding RNA (PTRI_LNC000741)". Lineage: Eukaryota; Viridiplantae; Streptophyta; Magnoliopsida; Malpighiales; Salicaceae. The record is from RNAcentral.